Molecule: long non-coding RNA, 2490 nt
Filed under: Nicotiana benthamiana
Lineage: Eukaryota; Viridiplantae; Streptophyta; Magnoliopsida; Solanales; Solanaceae
Description: long non-coding RNA (NBEN_LNC042585)
Source: RNAcentral
GAAAAGGUGGUUGGUCUUUAAGACAUUACAUGGGCCCAAAUGGUUUAGCCCAAAACAGAAACGCCCAAGAACCAGCCCAAAACCACUCAAACCCGGCCUGGCCCAAGCUGAGCCGAAAUGAUGCCAUUUCACUUCAUUUAAUCAGAUCCCUUUAACCUCUUCAUCCAACGGCUCAGAAGCCCUCCCCAGUUUGCAUAUAAGUGUCCGAAAAUGAAUUAACCCUAAAAACAUACGCUUCUUCCUCGUACUCAUCUGUAAUGCCGCCGCCGCCGCCGCCGGUGAAUGCCACCACCUCCAUUGCCUCCCAAAAUAACACCCCAAACUCCCAUUUUCAUCCUCUUUCCGAAUAUGCAAAAUGGCUUCCCUCGAAUCCACCCAGAGAGCUUCGAAUCUCCGUUUGAAUAUUUUUCAUCCAUAAUGUGACUUCAUCCAAAUCAACCCAAAUUAACACUCCAAAAUCGCAUGGGCCUCCUCUACCCAAUCCCCUAACCUCACUCCUCGAGUAUGGCCGGAAAGAUUCGAAUUUUAGUUUUUAGAGUUUCCAACCAAGAACCCUAUGCCCAAAUUACUCCCACACUGAAAUCUGGUGACCCUUUCAUCAUCCAUAUGAGGAUUUCAAUGGCAUAGAGUCCAAUGUCGCCGGAAAUGAUCGAAUUUGAAGAUUGGAACUCAACCGGAGUUCGAGCCAUGGCAGUGAUGUUUUAUUUCUUAUUUAAUUAUUUUAUGUUUGCUUCUUUGAUCAUAUUCUUUAAUUUUUAGUUAAGACGUAUCUGGAGUUUUGUUGAUUUCUUUUAUCCCAAUUUCGUGAAAUUUGUUUUGUUUGUCUUAGUUUAGUUUGAUUAUUAGCAUGGUUUGAGAUUAAAAUUUGUUUUGAUAAUUGGAUUUUAGUCUGACUAGGGUUCCAAUCAUUUCUUGAUUUGUGUCUUAAAUUCAUUGCUUCAUUGGUUAAUAUGAAGAUUGUGAAGUUAACUAGUUUCAGUGGUUAGAUAAUCAUGGUUAGGAUUUGGACAUGGUUAGACUAAUUUAGUAGUUUCACAUAAGUUCAAGGUAUUUCAGGUAACUAGCAAGGUUCAGAGGUGUGUAGAUUAUACCUGAAACUUCUAGAACCUUCUGGAGAGGGGGUAGAAUUAGAAUUUCAGAGAUUGAGUAUACUUGCUUGAGUCAAGUCAACAAACAAGGGGUUUAAAAGUUGAAAAUAGGGAGGGGCUAAAAAAGAAAAACUAAAAUCUGAUUGCUCACCUCUUAGGUUCUUAUAAAAGGGCACUCAAAUGCCUUGGUGAGGAGUCCUCUUUCAGUCAUCUAGUUUCAGAAAAAGCUAUUUCUCUUCUGUUUUCAAAUCUGAAAUAGAAAAUUCCAAUUUCAAAACCAAAAACAAAAAUAAAAUAAACAACAAAAUUGAAAAAUCAAAAAAAUAUUACCGUUCCACUAGAAUCAUAAGCUAAUUCCAGCUUUUAGUUUUUGAUUCGCAUGCUGUAGUUGCUGGAUUUGAUUGUUGAAGUGUAGAGGGUCAUUUUGUGUGCAAUUGAAUCAAUUUAAGUAGAUUUUUGGGCUGAGUUUUGCACCAGUACAAUUUCAGAAGGGUUGCAGUUCAGCUUUGAAUUAUUUUGGUGAUUUCGAGUCAAAAUUGUGUUUUGACUCCAGUUUGGGAGUUUUACUAGCUAUCUGUGCGUUGGUGUUCAUUUAUGGGUUGAAAUUUUGCUGUGUUGGGGUGGAUUUGUUGCUUGAAUUGAACACUUCCGAACCAUUUGACCUCAUUAUUGGCCUGUUAGUUAUUCAAAUCUGCUGAUAACUGACACUGUUGCUGACUUACUCUUCUCACCCAUUAUUCUUCAAUUUCCAGGUACAUUCUCAUUGUCCCUUGACCCCGAUGUCUGAUUCACUUGUGUAAACACCUAUGAAAUCCUUGAAUAAUGAAGAACUGCUCAUUGGGUUCAUCUAGAGUUGUUGAUUAACUGUUAAUAUAACCCAGUCAUUCAUAUUAAGUGUAAUUAGUUUUGGAGAUUUGUUUGAUGAAUUCAUACUUUAGUUUGUCUGUAAUGGGUUAGCUAGAUUGUUAAUUCGUAGUAGACUAUUUGGACAUUUGGACUAAUAAAUAAUAAACUGCUAAAUUAGUUAGAUAUAUUCUUUGUGGGUACUAUUCAAUUAGUAUUGUUUAUAUAAUGAAGAGUUUUCAGUGAAAUUCAUGGGAAUGUAGUUCAUAACUGUUUCCAAUAAGGCAUUUCAGUUGGUGUAGUUUAACAAUUUAGAUAUGGCGUUAAUUGCAUAUUGAAAAGUAUUAGUAAAAAUAUCAGUCUUGUUAUGAAUACACUUCUAUUUAAGGUGAAUCUCUUUAAUCAGAGAGAUUCUAGAGUCCUAUUAUUGGUAGAUAAAUCAUCCUACUCCCUAUAAAUAGAGGUGCCCUCUACCAUUGUAAAUAACUCCGAACAUUCCCAAAGUAUCAAUAAGAAUACUCCUCUCUACUUUUCUCUCUAUUGUUCUUGUUCUUAUAUU